Molecule: ribosomal RNA, 422 nt
Filed under: uncultured archaeon
Lineage: Archaea
Description: partial 16S ribosomal RNA
Rfam family: Archaeal small subunit ribosomal RNA
Source: RNAcentral
CUACGGGGCGCUCCAGGCGAGAAAACUUUGCAAUGUGCGAAAGCACGACAAGGUUAAUCCGAGUGGUUUCUGCUAAAGGAACCUUUUGACAGUCCUAGAAACACUGUUGAAUAUGGGGUGGGCAAGUUCUGGUGUCAGCCGCCGCGGUAAAACCAGCACCUCAAGUGGUCAGGAUGAUUAUUGGGCCUAAAGCAUCCGUAGCCGGCUCUGUAAGUUUUCGGUUAAAUCUGUACGCUCAACGUACAGGCUGCCGGGAAUACUGCAGAGCUAGGGAGUGGGAGAGGUAGACGGUACUCGGUAGGAAGGGGUAAAAUCCUUUGAUCUAUUGAUGACCACCUGUGGCGAAGGCGGUCUACCAGAACACGUCCGACGGUGAGGGAUGAAAGCUGGGGGAGCAAACCGGAUUAGAUACCCUGGUAGUC